AAAAGUGUUUUCCGCUUCGGACCAUGCCUAAGUCCCUUGGAAAAGGGCAUCAUAGAGGGUGAUAAUCCCGUACAUGGCAUGGAGCGCCCGAAGCUUUGUGAUACGCUUUCUAAGAGUCGAGUUGUUUGGGAAUGCAGCUCAAAAUGGGUGGUAAAUGCCAUCUAAGGCUAAAUAUUGGGGAGAGACCGAUAGCGAACAAGUACAGUGAUGGAAAGAUGAAAAGAACUUUGAAAAGAGAGUUAAACAGUACGUGAAAUUGCCAAAAGGGAAGGGUAGGAGGUCAGAGAUGCGGCCUGGGAUUCAGCCUUGCUUUUGCUUGGUGUUUUUCCCAGAUUGCAGGCCAACGUCGGUUUUGGGCACUGGAGAAGGGUAGGAGGAACGUGGCACCUCUCGGGGUGUGUUAUAGCCUCCUACUGGAUACAGCGACCGAGACCGAGGACAGCAGCGUACUCGCAAGAGCGGGCCUUCGGGCACCUUUACGCUUAGGGCGUUGGCAUAAUGGCCCUCUACCACCCGUCUUG
Molecule: ribosomal RNA, 521 nt
Filed under: Moesziomyces rugulosus
Lineage: Eukaryota; Fungi; Basidiomycota; Ustilaginomycetes; Ustilaginales; Ustilaginaceae
Also listed under: 1 other name
Description: eukaryotic LSU rRNA
Rfam family: Eukaryotic large subunit ribosomal RNA
Source: RNAcentral